RNAcentral lists this ribosomal RNA (450 nucleotides) under uncultured bacterium. RNAcentral's name for it is "bacterial SSU rRNA". It matches the Rfam family "Bacterial small subunit ribosomal RNA", at positions 501 to 950 of the family's 1533-position model. The record is from RNAcentral.
CUACGUGCCAGCAGCCGCGGUAAUACGUAGGUCCCGAGCGUUGUCCGGAUUUAUUGGGCGUAAAGCGAGCGCAGGCGGUUAGAUAAGUCUGAAGUUAAAGGCUGUGGCUUAACCAUAGUAUGCUUUGGAAACUGUUUAACUUGAGUGCARAAGGGGAGAGUGGAAUUCCAUGUGUAGCGGUGAAAUGCGUAGAUAUAUGGAGGAACACCGGUGGCGAAAGCGGCUCUCUGGUCUGUAACUGACGCUGAGGCUCGAAAGCGUGGGGAGCAAACAGGAUUAGAUACCCUGGUAGUCCACGCCGUAAACGAUGAGUGCUAGGUGUUAGGCCCUUUCCGGGGCUUAGUGCCGCAGCUAACGCAUUAAGCACUCCGCCUGGGGAGUACGACCGCAAGGUUAAAACUCAAAUGAAUUGACGGGGGCCCGCACAAGCGGUGGAGCAUGUGGUUUAAU